This 491-nucleotide ribosomal RNA is filed under the name uncultured bacterium. RNAcentral describes it as "bacterial SSU rRNA". It matches the Rfam family "Bacterial small subunit ribosomal RNA", at positions 774 to 1262 of the family's 1533-position model. The record is from RNAcentral.
AGUAAAUAGAUACCCCGGUAGUCCACGCCCUAAACGAUGCAUAUUUGGUGUGGGCAGUUCAUUCUGUCCGUGCCGGAGCUAAACGCGUUAAAUAUGCCGCCUGGGGAGUACAGUCGCAAGGCUGAAACUCAAAGGAAUUGCCGGGGGCCCGCACAAGCGGUGGAGCAUGUGGUUCAAUUCGACGCAACGCGAAGAACCUUACCUGGGCUCGAACGGCCGGUCAACGGCGGUGGAAACAUCGCUACCCCGCAAGGGGGUCCGGGUCGAGGUGCUGCAUGGCUGUCGUCAGCUCGUGUCGUGAGAUGUUGGGUUAAGUCCCGCAACGAGCGCAACCCUUGUCCUGUGUUGCCAUCAUUUAGUUGGGAACUCGCAGGAGACCGCCAGGGAUAACCUGGAGGAAGGUGGGGAUGACGUCAAGUCCUCAUGGCCUUUAUGUCCAGGGCUACACACGUGCUACAAUGGCCGGUACAAAGCGUCGCAAACUCGCGAGA